RNAcentral lists this unclassified non-coding RNA (312 nucleotides) under Hevea brasiliensis (rubber tree). The record is from RNAcentral. Lineage: Eukaryota; Viridiplantae; Streptophyta; Magnoliopsida; Malpighiales; Euphorbiaceae.
GUUACAUUAACAUACAAAAUACAAAGUGUGACUGAAAAUUGAGAAGAAAUUCAGACAAGCAAAAGCUGAAUGGCUCCAAUUGAUGAUCUCUUUCAAAUCAUAAAGUUAUAUCUAGUAAAACACAUACCUGUUUCAAACAUUCAUCCAUAAUCUACAUCUUUGAGGCUUAGGAAGGAUGAGAAUCCUCGAAAACAAAUCCCGAUGCUUCCGCAAGUGCAGACAGAUCUUGCUCUCCACUCAAAACCUUGCCAUUUAUAAUCCACAUAGGGAAGCCUUCGACUCCAACAGCUCUACAUUCCAUGGCCAUUAAUU